RNAcentral lists this ribosomal RNA (2243 nucleotides) under Escherichia coli. RNAcentral's name for it is "partial 23S ribosomal RNA". It matches the Rfam family "Bacterial large subunit ribosomal RNA", at positions 418 to 2646 of the family's 2925-position model. The record is from RNAcentral. Lineage: Bacteria; Pseudomonadati; Pseudomonadota; Gammaproteobacteria; Enterobacterales; Enterobacteriaceae.
CGGGACACGUGGUAUCCUGUCUGAAUAUGGGGGGACCAUCCUCCAAGGCUAAAUACUCCUGACUGACCGAUAGUGAACCAGUACCGUGAGGGAAAGGCGAAAAGAACCCCGGCGAGGGGAGUGAAAAAGAACCUGAAACCGUGUACGUACAAGCAGUGGGAGCACGCUUAGGCGUGUGACUGCGUACCUUUUGUAUAAUGGGUCAGCGACUUAUAUUCUGUAGCAAGGUUAACCGAAUAGGGGAGCCGAAGGGAAACCGAGUCUUAACUGGGCGUUAAGUUGCAGGGUAUAGACCCGAAACCCGGUGAUCUAGCCAUGGGCAGGUUGAAGGUUGGGUAACACUAACUGGAGGACCGAACCGACUAAUGUUGAAAAAUUAGCGGAUGACUUGUGGCUGGGGGUGAAAGGCCAAUCAAACCGGGAGAUAGCUGGUUCUCCCCGAAAGCUAUUUAGGUAGCGCCUCGUGAAUUCAUCUCCGGGGGUAGAGCACUGUUUCGGCAAGGGGGUCAUCCCGACUUACCAACCCGAUGCAAACUGCGAAUACCGGAGAAUGUUAUCACGGGAGACACACGGCGGGUGCUAACGUCCGUCGUGAAGAGGGAAACAACCCAGACCGCCAGCUAAGGUCCCAAAGUCAUGGUUAAGUGGGAAACGAUGUGGGAAGGCCCAGACAGCCAGGAUGUUGGCUUAGAAGCAGCCAUCAUUUAAAGAAAGCGUAAUAGCUCACUGGUCGAGUCGGCCUGCGCGGAAGAUGUAACGGGGCUAAACCAUGCACCGAAGCUGCGGCAGCGACGCUGAUGCGUUGUUGGGUAGGGGAGCGUUCUGUAAGCCUGUGAAGGUGUGCUGUGAGGCAUGCUGGAGGUAUCAGAAGUGCGAAUGCUGACAUAAGUAACGAUAAAGCGGGUGAAAAGCCCGCUCGCCGGAAGACCAAGGGUUCCUGUCCAACGUUAAUCGGGGCAGGGUGAGUCGACCCCUAAGGCGAGGCCGAAAGGCGUAGUCGAUGGGAAACAGGUUAAUAUUCCUGUACUUGGUGUUACUGCGAAGGGGGGACGGAGAAGGCUAUGUUGGCCGGGCGACGGUUGUCCCGGUUUAAGCGUGUAGGCUGGUUUUCCAGGCAAAUCCGGAAAAUCAAGGCUGAGGCGUGAUGACGAGGCACUACGGUGCUGAAGCAACAAAUGCCCUGCUUCCAGGAAAAGCCUCUAAGCAUCAGGUAACAUCAAAUCGUACCCCAAACCGACACAGGUGGUCAGGUAGAGAAUACCAAGGCGCUUGAGAGAACUCGGGUGAAGGAACUAGGCAAAAUGGUGCCGUAACUUCGGGAGAAGGCACGCUGAUAUGUAGGUGAAGCGACUUGCUCGUGGAGCUGAAAUCAGUCGAAGAUACCAGCUGGCUGCAACUGUUUAUUAAAAACACAGCACUGUGCAAACACGAAAGUGGACGUAUACGGUGUGACGCCUGCCCGGUGCCGGAAGGUUAAUUGAUGGGGUCAGCGCAAGCGAAGCUCUUGAUCGAAGCCCCGGUAAACGGCGGCCGUAACUAUAACGGUCCUAAGGUAGCGAAAUUCCUUGUCGGGUAAGUUCCGACCUGCACGAAUGGCGUAAUGAUGGCCAGGCUGUCUCCACCCGAGACUCAGUGAAAUUGAACUCGCUGUGAAGAUGCAGUGUACCCGCGGCAAGACGGAAAGACCCCGUGAACCUUUACUAUAGCUUGACACUGAACAUUGAGCCUUGAUGUGUAGGAUAGGUGGGAGGCUUUGAAGUGUGGACGCCAGUCUGCAUGGAGCCGGCCUUGAAAUACCACCCUUUAAUGUUUGAUGUUCUAACGUUGACCCGUGAUCCGGGUUGCGGACAGUGUCUGGUGGGUAGUUUGACUGGGGCGGUCUCCUCCUAAAGAGUAACGGAGGAGCACGAAGGUUGGCUAAUCCUGGUCGGACAUCAGGAGGUUAGUGCAAUGGCAUAAGCCAGCUUGACUGCGAGCGUGACGGCGCGAGCAGGUGCGAAAGCAGGUCAUAGUGAUCCGGUGGUUCUGAAUGGAAGGGCCAUCGCUCAACGGAUAAAAGGUACUCCGGGGAUAACAGGCUGAUACCGCCCAAGAGUUCAUAUCGACGGCGGUGUUUGGCACCUCGAUGUCGGCUCAUCACAUCCUGGGGCUGAAGUAGGUCCCAAGGGUAUGGCUGUUCGCCAUUUAAAGUGGUACGCGAGCUGGGUUUAGAACGUCGUGAGACAGUUCGGUCCCUAUCUGCC